GGGCUCACACAAGCGGUGGAGCAUGUGGCUUAAUUCGAAGCAACGCGAAGAACCUUAUCCUGGGUUUGACAUGUAUGGAUUAGCUGCCCGAAAGGGUAGUAACGCGGCUUGCCGUGGAACAUACACAGGUGCUGCAUGGCUGUCGUCAGCUCGUGCUGUGAAGUGUCGGGUUAAGUCCCUUAACGAGCGCAACCCCUGUCGUUAGUUGCUAACAGGUAAUGCUGAGGACUCUAGCGAGACUGCCGGUGUCAAACCGGAGGAAGGUGGGGAUGACGUCAAGUCCGCAUGGCCUUUAUGCCCAGGGCUGCACACGUGCUACAAUGGCUGGUACAGAACGACGCAAUACCGCGAGGUGAGCAAA
RNAcentral lists this ribosomal RNA (361 nucleotides) under uncultured bacterium. RNAcentral describes it as "bacterial SSU rRNA". It matches the Rfam family "Bacterial small subunit ribosomal RNA", at positions 917 to 1271 of the family's 1533-position model. The record is from RNAcentral.